This 76-nucleotide transfer RNA is filed under the name Boulengerella maculata (spotted pike-characin). Its description in RNAcentral is "tRNA-Leu". It matches the Rfam family "tRNA". From Rfam's summary of the family: Transfer RNA (tRNA) molecules are approximately 80 nucleotides in length. Their secondary structure includes four short double-helical elements and three loops (D, anti-codon, and T loops). The record is from RNAcentral. Lineage: Eukaryota; Metazoa; Chordata; Actinopteri; Characiformes; Ctenoluciidae.
GCUAAGAUGGCAGAGACUGGGUUAUUGCGAGAGGCCUAAGCCCUCUCUACCGGGGGUUCAAAUCCCCCUCUUAGCU